GACGAACGCUGGCGGCGUGCUUAACACAUGCGAGUCGAACGGAAAGGCCUGCUUUCCCUUGUGGAUUGCGGGUACUCGAGUGGCGAACGGGUGAGUAACACGUGAGUGAUCUGCCCCCAACUUGGGUAUAAGCCUGGGAAACUGGGUCUAAUUCCCGAUAGGACUGCAGGGUGGUGCCUGUGGUGGAAAACGAUUUUCUAGUGGUUGGGGAUGAGCUCGCGGCCUAUCAGCUUGUUGGUGGGGUAAUGGCCUACCAAGGCGGCGACGGGUAGCCGGCCUGGGAGGGUGGACGGCCGCAUUGGGACUGAGAUACGGCCCCGACUCCUACGGGAGGCAGCAGUGGGGAAUAUUGCACAAUGGGCGGAAGCCUGAUGCAGCGACGCCGCGUGGGGGAUGACGGCCUUCGGGUUGUAAACUCCUUUCGACCGCGAGGAAGCCACCUGGUUGGAAGGGUGGUGACGGUAGUGGUAGAAGAAGCACCGGCUAACUACGUG
This 494-nucleotide ribosomal RNA is filed under the name uncultured bacterium. Its description in RNAcentral is "partial 16S ribosomal RNA". It matches the Rfam family "Bacterial small subunit ribosomal RNA", at positions 28 to 507 of the family's 1533-position model. The record is from RNAcentral.